UGGAAACCACUUUUAUUGCUUACUUUCUUCUAUAUUCUGGAAUGACAUAUCAUUUACACUUUCUGCUAUUUAUAUAAGCAUUUUUAUUUGAUUUUUCUAAUAAAAAACUUGACCUUCUUCUUUCAUACCACUGUAUCACGAACUAUGAAGUAAAAGUUAUAAUUUUCUUUAAAUAAUGUAAUUUAUGGAAAAUAUAUAUAUUUUUAUUUAUAAUUCUAAUUAUUAAAAAAAGGCAGCAUUUCCUUUCACUACAUUAUAACAC
Molecule: long non-coding RNA, 262 nt
Filed under: Phaseolus vulgaris (common bean)
Lineage: Eukaryota; Viridiplantae; Streptophyta; Magnoliopsida; Fabales; Fabaceae
Description: long non-coding RNA (PVUL_LNC004416)
Source: RNAcentral